GGAUGUGAGGGCGAUCUGGCUGUGACAUUAGUCACUCGAUUGAUCGCGGUGUUGACUCUGCUGAUCCGGCUGGUGAGGCAGGGGUCCCCUUCCUCCCUCGCUGCUCCAUGGUGUCUCUCCCGAAGCUGUGCCACUGGGUUGAAGAGGAUGACCCCAGAUAGAGGAGGACCAUUUCCUCGGUCAAGGUUAUAUAAGUAGCUGCACUACUCUGCUAGAACCUCCCAACAAGUGCUCAAGGUCCACAUUUAUAGCAGCACAGUUCAUAAUAGCUAAAUCUUGGAAGCAGCCUCUAUGCUCAUCAACAGAU
Molecule: small nuclear RNA, 307 nt
Filed under: Heterocephalus glaber (naked mole-rat)
Lineage: Eukaryota; Metazoa; Chordata; Mammalia; Rodentia; Bathyergidae
Description: 7SK RNA
Rfam family: 7SK RNA
About the family: 7SK was discovered as an abundant small nuclear RNA in the mid-70s but a possible function has only recently been suggested. Two independent studies have found that 7SK RNA binds the CDK9/cyclin T complex (known as elongation factor P-TEFb). P-TEFb activates transcription by phosphorylating the C-terminal domain of RNA polymerase II.
Source: Rfam by way of RNAcentral